UCUUUUACCAUGCUAAUACUGAAAACAUCAGGUAGGGGUUUUAUUCUUCAUUAGAUGUUGUUAAUAUGAAUUCUCUUUCUUACAUGCAACUGAGGGGC
Suncus etruscus (white-toothed pygmy shrew) is the source of this 98-nucleotide small nucleolar RNA. NCBI's taxonomy places the organism in Eukaryota, Metazoa, Chordata, Mammalia, Eulipotyphla, Soricidae. The record is from RefSeq and is a predicted model, not a curated record.